AGUCUACGCAGCCGCUUGCAAGCGGGCGGGGGCGGCGUGUGAGGCGCAGCGGACGGGGUUGUGGGCUCAGUAGCGGCAGCUUCAGGGCGCGAGCGCGGGCGGUGCCGGCCACUGCAGGUAACAGAGGCGCUGAGAGGGCAGCCGCGGCCCUGUGGAGAUGAGGAAAUUGAGGCACAGAGAUUAACUAAUCUGAACCAGAUAAUGCCAUAAGUAGUAGAACUGGGAUGCAAACUUGGACAGUCUGACUCCAGAGUCUGCACACUUAACCACUCCACUAUUCUGGCCUUCAACAAGAUGCAGUGCCUGGCACAUAGUGAUGGCUCAGUAAAUGUUUGAAUAAAUGCCAAAAGAUGAGUCGUGGAUAUUCAGAAAACAACAAUUUCCUGAACAAUAAUAACCAAAUGGUAUUGGACAUGAUCCUUUAUCCAUUAAUUGGAAUCCCUCAGACUAUCAACUGGGAAACUAUAGCAAGGCUCGUGCCUGGAUUAACACCGAAAGAGUGUGCAAAAAGGUUUGAUGAAUUAAAGAGCAGUGGAAGCUCACCUGUUGACAACCAGUAUAAUUCCCUAAUGGCUGCUGGAGAGAGUCCUGUUGAAACUUUAGCCACAUAUAUCAAAUCCUCACUUCUUGACAUACAUGGAGAAUUUCAGGAGACUCCAGUUGGACAUGAUGCAGUUUCCAAAACAGGAAGACAUAGUAUAGCUUCCACAAGGAACUGUUCUUCAGAAAGUGAAAAUUGUACUACUCAUAAUGGUGGAGAAAUGACUGAAGAAUCUGAAGGGCCAAACAUGGUGAUCCAUGUGUGUGAUGAAGCAAAGAACUUGAAAGAAGAUUUUACUUGCCCGCGAGAUCUUUUGAUAUCAGAAAUGAAGUACUUUGCUGAAUAUUUAUCUAUGGAUGCCCAGCGCUGGGAAGAGGUGGACAUUUCAGUUCAUUGUGACGUUCACAUUUUCAACUGGUUGAUAAAAUAUGUUAAAAGGAACGCUAAGGAGAAUAAAGAUUGUGAGAUGCCCACUUUAGAGCCAGGAAAUGUCAUUUCAAUUCUUAUUUCUUCGGAGUUUUUAAAAAUGGAUUCACUAGUUGAACAGUGUGUUCAGUAUUGCCACAAAAAUAUGAAUGCCAUAGUAGCUACCCCAUGCAACAUGAACUGUAUUAAUGCAAAUCUUCUCACACGUAUAGCUGAUCUGUUCACACACAAUGAAGUUGAUGAUUUAAAGGACAAAAAAGAUAAAUUUAAAAGCAAACUUUUUUGUAAGAAGAUUGAAAGACUGUUUGAUCCUGAGUACUUGAAUCCAGAUUCUCGGAGUAAUGCAGCAACAUUGUAUAGAUGCUGUUUGUGUAAGAAACUUUUAACAAAAGAAACAGAAAGAAGAAUUCCUUGCAUUCCUGGAAAAAUCAAUGUGGAUCGACAUGGAAAUAUUGUCUAUAUUCACAUAAGGUGUCGUGAAGAUAAAAUACAUACAUAUAUUUUUGUAUAUAUAUAUAUGUAGUUGUUGUUGUUGUUGUUGUUUUGGAGACGGAGGCUUACUCUGUCACCCAGGCUGGCGUGCAAUGGUGUGGUCUUGGCUAACUGCAACCUCCGCCUCCCAGGUUCAAGCGAUUCUCCUGCCUCAGCCUCCCGAGUAGCUGGGACUACAGACAUGUGCCACCACACCCAGCUAGUUUUUGUAUUUUUAGUAGAGAUGGAGUUUCACUAUGUUGGCCAGGCUGGUCUCGAACUCCUGACCUCAUGAUUUGCCCACCUCGGCCUCCCAAAGUACUGGGAUUACAGGUGUGAGCCACCACGCCAAGCCCAGAUUUUUUUUAAAUGUGAAUUUCUGGCAUAUUUAUAAAAAUAUAACUACUUUUAUAAGGAAUGGGAUAACAUCUUUUCUGCACGUUAUCCAACUUUCAUUUAGAAAAAUACUUUCUAAACAAGGUAGUUGUUAGUACAUUUUAUUUACUGGGUAAAUGUCAUAAUGUUUUAAACAUUAAAAUGAUAAAAAUUAUUGUAUAUUAAUCUUGAAAGGUAUUCUGGUUAGUGCCUUUAAAAUGCUCUCUUUUCACUAACAGAUUUUAGUUAUCUGUACAAAUGUUAUAUUGAAUUUUACAAGAGAACCAAAUUUACUUUCAGGUAAAUUUUGGUGAGGAAAAUUGUCUUUAGCGUUGGAUUUUCUGUCAUCUGUUUGUUCUUCAUACUUUGUCAGUAUUUCAUUAAUAUGUAGGCCGGGCGCAGUGGCUCACACCUGUAAUCCCAGCACUUUGGGAGGCCAAGUCAGGUGGAUCACCUGAGGUCAGGAGUUUGAGACCAGCCUGACCAACAUGGUGAGACCCCGUCUCUACUACAAAAAACUAGUCGAGCGUGGUGGCGGGUGCCUGUAGUCUCAGCUACUUGGGAGGCUGAAGCAGGGGACUCACUUGAACCCAGGAGGCGGAGGUUGCAGUGAGCCGAGAUAGUGCCACUGCACUCCAGCCUGGUGACAGAGCAAGAUUCCGUCUGAAAACAAUAAAUAAAUAAAAUAAAAAUUAGCCGGGCAUGGUGGUGCACACCUGUAACCCAGCUACUUGGGAGGCCAAGGCAGGAGAAUCACUUGAACCCAGGAGGCAGAGGUUGCAGUGAGCCGAGAUCACACCAUUGCACUCCAGCCUGGACAACAAGAGUGAAACUCC
Molecule: small RNA, 2649 nt
Filed under: Pongo abelii (Sumatran orangutan)
Lineage: Eukaryota; Metazoa; Chordata; Mammalia; Primates; Hominidae
Description: processed transcript
Source: RNAcentral